RNAcentral lists this ribosomal RNA (252 nucleotides) under uncultured bacterium. RNAcentral's name for it is "partial 16S ribosomal RNA". It matches the Rfam family "Bacterial small subunit ribosomal RNA", at positions 524 to 776 of the family's 1533-position model. The record is from RNAcentral.
UACAGAGGUCUCAAGCGUUGUUCGGAUUCAUUGGGCGUAAAGGGUGCGUAGGUGGCGCCGUAAGUCGGGUGUGAAAUUUCGGAGCUUAACUCCGAAACUGCAUUCGAUACUGCGGUGCUUGAGGACUGGAGAGGAGACUGGAAUUCAUGGUGUAGCAGUGAAAUGCGUAGAGAUCAUGAGGAAGACCAGUGGCGAAAGCGGGUCUCUGGACAGUUCCUGACACUGAGGCACGAAGGCCAGGGAGCAAACGGG